RNAcentral lists this ribosomal RNA (497 nucleotides) under uncultured bacterium. RNAcentral describes it as "partial 16S ribosomal RNA". It matches the Rfam family "Bacterial small subunit ribosomal RNA", at positions 28 to 507 of the family's 1533-position model. The record is from RNAcentral.
GAUGAACGCUGGCGGCGUGCCUAAUACAUGCAAGUCGAGCGAACUUUCGGGAAGUUUGUCCCACAAGUUUGCGGCGGGCUGGUGAGUAAAACGUGUGGAACACGCCUGUAUAACACGGGGAUAACCUGGAAAAAGGAGCGAAAACACGAUAACAUAUAAGACCCCAUAGCGUUCAAUAAAAAAGUGCGUUUUUGCUAUCACUUACAGAUGGAUCCGCGCCGCAUUAUCUAGUUGGUAAGGUAACGGCUCACCAAGGCGACGAUGCGUAGCCGACCUGAGAGGGUAAUCGGCCACACUGGAACGGGGACACGGCCCAGAUUCCUACGGGAGGAAGAAGUAGGGAAUCUUCGGCAAUGGACGAAAGCCUGAUGGAGCAACGCCGCGUGAGGGAAGAAGGUUUUCGGUUCGUAAAACCUGGUGUUAGGGGAAGAAAAGAUUUGUUAGUAAAUGGGCAUGUCUUGACGGUACCUAACCAGAAAGCCACGGCUAACUACGUG